AUGUCAGAUUCCAAAACUAAUGACUCACAAGCAGGCUAUGAAAGCGCCCUAACUGCUAUGACAGUAUCUUUAGCUGGCUGCAACUAUAUCCAUGAUGCAG
This is a non-coding RNA of Desulfitibacter sp. BRH_c19, 100 nucleotides long. The record is from Rfam. Lineage: Bacteria; Bacillati; Bacillota; Clostridia; Neomoorellales; Desulfitibacteraceae.